CAGAGAAUAGUUUAUAGAAAAAUUAUAGCUUUGGAUGCUAUGGAAGAUUAAUUCUUUUCUGA
RNAcentral lists this transfer RNA (62 nucleotides) under Aposthonia borneensis. Its description in RNAcentral is "tRNA-Pro". Lineage: Eukaryota; Metazoa; Arthropoda; Insecta; Embioptera; Oligotomidae. RNAcentral also lists the same sequence under 1 other name. The record is from RNAcentral.